AGUGAACGCUGGCGGCGUGCCUAAUACAUGCAAGUCGAACGGAGAUUAAGUAGCUUGCUAUUUACUCUUAGUGGCGCACGGGUGAGUAAUAUAUAGCUAACUUGCCCAUUACUAAGGGACAACAGUUGGAAACGACUGCUAAUACCUUAUACUCCGUAUCUAUAUAAGUAGAUACGGGAAAGUUUUUCGGUAAUGGAUAGGGCUAUAUCGUAUCAGCUAGUUGGUAAGGUAAUGGCUUACCAAGGCUAUGACGCGUAACUGGUCUGAGAGGAUGAUCAGUCACAAUGGAACUGAGACACGGUCCAGACUCCUACGGGAGGCAGCAGUAGGGAAUAUUGCUCAAUGGGGGAAACCCUGAAGCAGCAACGCCGAGUGAAGGAUGACACUUGUCGGAGCGUAAACUCCUUUUCUUGGGAAAGAAUUAUGACGGUACCCAAGGAAUAAGCACCGGCUAACUCCGUG
This 462-nucleotide ribosomal RNA is filed under the name uncultured bacterium. Its description in RNAcentral is "partial 16S ribosomal RNA". It matches the Rfam family "Bacterial small subunit ribosomal RNA", at positions 29 to 507 of the family's 1533-position model. The record is from RNAcentral.